GACGAACGCUGGCGGCGUGCUUAACACAUGCAAGUGGAGCGACGAACCGGGCUUCGGCCCGGGGCAAAGCCGCGAACGGGUGAGUAACACGUGGGUAACCUGCCCCGAUGACCGGGACAACCCGAGGAAACUCGGGCUAAUACCGGAUGAGCUCGUGCUACAUCAGUGACACGAGGAAAGGAAGCUUCGGCCUCCGCAUUGGGAUGGGCCCGCGGCCCAUUAGCUUGUUGGUGGGGUAACGGCCUACCAAGGCUUCGAUGGGUAGCUGGUCUGAGAGGACGAUCAGCCACACUGGGACUGAGACACGGCCCAGACUCCUACGGGAGGCAGCAGUGGGGAAUCUUGCGCAAUGCGCGAAAGCGUGACGCAGCAACGCCGCGUGCGGGAAGACGGCCUUCGGGUUGUAAACCGCUUUCAGUUGGGACGAAGCUCCGUCGGUGAACAGCCGGCUGGAGUGACGGUACCUUCACAAGAAGCCCCGGCUAACUACGUGCCAGCCGCCGCAGUAACAC
RNAcentral lists this ribosomal RNA (512 nucleotides) under uncultured bacterium. RNAcentral describes it as "bacterial SSU rRNA". It matches the Rfam family "Bacterial small subunit ribosomal RNA", at positions 28 to 526 of the family's 1533-position model. The record is from RNAcentral.